RNAcentral lists this ribosomal RNA (1484 nucleotides) under Romeriopsis navalis LEGE 11480. Its description in RNAcentral is "Bacterial small subunit ribosomal RNA". It matches the Rfam family "Bacterial small subunit ribosomal RNA". Lineage: Bacteria; Bacillati; Cyanobacteriota; Cyanophyceae; Leptolyngbyales; Leptolyngbyaceae. The record is from Rfam by way of RNAcentral.
CCAAUGGAGAGUUUGAUCCUGGCUCAGGAUGAACGCUGGCGGUAUGCUUAACACAUGCAAGUCGAACGGACUCUUCGGAGUUAGUGGCGGACGGGUGAGUAACGCGUGAGAAUCUGCCUACAGAUUGGGGACAACAUCGGGAAACUGAUGCUAAUACCGAAUGUGCCGAGAGGUAAAAGAUUUAUCGUCUGUAGAUGAGCUCGCGUCUGAUUAGCUAGUUGGGGAGGUAAUGGCUCACCAAGGCAACGAUCAGUAACUGGUCUGAGAGGAUGACCAGUCACACUGGGACUGAGACACGGCCCAGACUCCUACGGGAGGCAGCAGUGGGGAAUUUUCCGCAAUGGGCGCAAGCCUGACGGAGCAAUACCGCGUGCGGGAGGAAGCUUUUUGGAGUGUAAACCGCUUUUCUCAAGGAAGAUGAUGACGGUACUUGAGGAAUCAGCAUCGGCUAACUUCGUGCCAGCAGCCGCGGUAAUACGAGGGAUGCAAGCGUUAUCCGGAAUUAUUGGGCGUAAAGCGUUCGUAGGUGGCUAAUUAAGUCUGUUGUUAAAACGUGGAGCUUAACUCCAUAUCGGCAAUGGAAACUGGUUGGCUAGAGUAUGGUAGGGGUAACAGGAAUUCCAAGUGUAGCGGUGAAAUGCGUAGAUAUUUGGAAGAACACCAGCGGCGAAAGCGUGUUACUGGGCCAUUACUGACACUGAGGGACGAAAGCUAGGGGAGCGAAAGGGAUUAGAUACCCCUGUAGUCCUAGCCGUAAACGAUGAGAACUAGGUGUUGCGCGUAUCGACCCGCGCGGUGCCGUAGCCAACGCGUUAAGUUCUCCGCCUGGGGAGUACGCACGCAAGUGUGAAACUCAAAGGAAUUGACGGGGGCCCGCACAAGCGGUGGAGUAUGUGGUUUAAUUCGAUGCAACGCGAAGAACCUUACCAGGGUUUGACAUCCUCGGAACUUUCUGGAAACAGAUUGGUGCCUUCGGGAACCGAGAGACAGGUGGUGCAUGGCUGUCGUCAGCUCGUGUCGUGAGAUGUUGGGUUAAGUCCCGCAACGAGCGCAACCCACGUUUUUAGUUGCCAUCAUUCAGUUGGGCACUCUAGAGAGACUGCCGGUGACAAACCGGAGGAAGGUGUGGAUGACGUCAAGUCAGCAUGCCCCUUACAUCCUGGGCUACACACGUACUACAAUGCUACGGACAAAGGGCAGCGAGCCAGCAAUGGUCGGCAAAUCCCAUAAACCGUAGCUCAGUUCAGAUUGCAGGCUGCAACUCGCCUGCAUGAAGGCGGAAUCGCUAGUAAUCGCAGGUCAGCAUACUGCGGUGAAUACGUUCCCGGGCCUUGUACACACCGCCCGUCACACCAUGGAAGUUGGUCACGCCCGAAAUGGUUACCCUAACCGCAAGGAGGGGGACCCCUAAGGCAGGGCUGAUGACUGGGGUGAAGUCGUAACAAGGUAGCCGUACCGGAAGGUGUGGCUGGAUCACCUCCUUU